Molecule: long non-coding RNA, 494 nt
Organism: Ostrea edulis (European flat oyster)
Lineage: Eukaryota; Metazoa; Mollusca; Bivalvia; Ostreida; Ostreidae
Exons: 2
Source: RefSeq, a predicted model, not a curated record
AGAAACAAUUGGUCACUUGGUGUUAUUGAGGAGACCUUUCCUGGUGCUGAUAAAACUGUACGUAAAGUUCGCGUUCGAGUUGCAGGGAAUAGUCUGUAUACUCGCCCCAUCAACGAACUUGUCUUACUAGUUUCUACUUAAGAUGUACAUACCAAAAUUUGUCAUUUUUUAAAAUAGCAUCUGUUUAGACACUUGUAUGGAAAUCUAGUCAUACUUUAUGAUCUAGUCAUCUACUUUUUAUAUUCAUUUGGAUGUAUAGUGUAGUUUGUUUAUUUUGGUCAUAUUUGUGAUAUCUAGGAGAUAUCAGGCGGGGAGUGUACUGUCCUUCGUACGAAUUUUUAAGGUACGAGUUAUCAAAAUAAAUGCUAGAAGCCAUGUGGCUGAAACAUUGUUUACCUGUGGAAUUUUUGGAAGUUUAAGGGAAAUUACAGUUCUUUUACCACAUGCCAUCUCACAUAUUCGUCCUUGUCAAUAAAGACAUCAGUUUAUUUGGA